RNAcentral lists this ribosomal RNA (470 nucleotides) under Buergeria buergeri (Buerger's frog). RNAcentral describes it as "partial 12S ribosomal RNA". It matches the Rfam family "Bacterial small subunit ribosomal RNA", at positions 716 to 1409 of the family's 1533-position model. Lineage: Eukaryota; Metazoa; Chordata; Amphibia; Anura; Rhacophoridae. The record is from RNAcentral.
CGAAAGUUACUCUAACAAACACUUGAAUACACGACAGCUUGGGACAAACUGAGAUUAGAUACCCCACUAUGCCAAGCCGUAAAAUUAAAUUACACUACCAACGCCAGGGAAUUACGAGCCUAAGCCUAAAACCCAAAGGACUUGACGGUGACCCACCCAUCUAGAGGAGCCUGUUCUAUAAUCGAUAAUCCACGCUAUACCUUACCGUUUCUUGCUUCUCAGCUUGUAUACCUCCGUCGUAAAUUCACCGUUUGAACGAAUAGUAGUGUGUCUGACGACCACCCGCCAACACGUCAGGUCAAGGUGCAGCUCAUGAAACGGAAAGCAAUGGGCUACAAUUUCUAACAUAGAAUAAACGAAAAACUGUAUGAAACACAGCUAUGAAGGCGGAUUUAGUAGUAAAUGGGGAAUAGAGAGCCCCCUUUAAUCUGGCCCUGGGACAUGUACAAACCGCCCGUCACCCUCUUCAA